UGGGGGAUAUUGCACAAUGGGGGAAACCCUGAUGCAGCAACGCCGCGUGAGUGAAGAAGGUCUUCGGAUUGUAAAACUCUGUUCUUGGUGAAGAUAAUGACGGUAGCCAAGGAGAAAGCUCCGGCUAACUACGUGCCAGCAGCCGCGGUAAUACGUAGGGAGCGAGCGUUGUCCGGAUUUACUGGGUGUAAAGGGUGCGCAGGCGGCUCUGCAAGUCAGGCGUGAAAGCUAGGGGCUCAACCCCUAAACUGCGCUUGAAACUGUGGAGCUUGAGUGAAGUAGAGGCAGGCGGAAUUCCCGGUGUAGCGGUGAAAUGCGUAGAGAUCGGGAGGAACACCAGUGGCGAAGGCGGCCUGCUGGGCUUUAACUGACGCUCAGGCACGAAAGCAUGGGUAGCAAA
Molecule: ribosomal RNA, 400 nt
Filed under: uncultured bacterium
Lineage: Bacteria
Description: bacterial SSU rRNA
Rfam family: Bacterial small subunit ribosomal RNA
Source: RNAcentral